This 29-nucleotide non-coding RNA is filed under the name Bombyx mori (domestic silkworm). Lineage: Eukaryota; Metazoa; Arthropoda; Insecta; Lepidoptera; Bombycidae. The record is from RNAcentral.
UGACAAGUAGCGGUCAGUGCUGCCAGCAA